CGCCCGUUAGCUCAGUUGGUUAGAGCGUUGUGCUAAUAACGCGAAGGUCGUGGGUUCGAUCCCCCCACGGGCCA
Molecule: transfer RNA, 74 nt
Filed under: Schistocerca americana (American grasshopper)
Lineage: Eukaryota; Metazoa; Arthropoda; Insecta; Orthoptera; Acrididae
Description: tRNA-Ile
Rfam family: tRNA
About the family: Transfer RNA (tRNA) molecules are approximately 80 nucleotides in length.
Source: RNAcentral